Long non-coding RNA from Ruditapes philippinarum (Manila clam), 2068 nucleotides. RefSeq lists it as uncharacterized. The transcript is spliced from 3 exons. The record is from RefSeq and is a predicted model, not a curated record. Lineage: Eukaryota; Metazoa; Mollusca; Bivalvia; Venerida; Veneridae.
AAAACCUAACUCCAAAUAGUGAUGUUAUUGAGCGAUAAAAUCACUGUUUGGGAUAUAUUAUUUCUUAACCUUUAUCUAGUUUGCUUGUCAUUUUUUGCAGAGUGAAGUGAAAACAGUUUAUCAUUUCCAAUAUAAGAAAUGGGCGGAAUCUAACACUGUUCCUGACACUGUUGAAUAUUUUGUUCAUUUUAUCAAAGAUGUUGAAAAACGUGUAAAUAAUCAUACGUCAAAUAACAAUACACAUGUAGUUGUUCACUGCUUGACUGGGUAUGAGAGAUCUGGAUUAUUUUGUACCUUGUAUUCACUCCUUGAGAAGUUAGAGGCUGAGCGACAAGUCAGUGUGGUCAAUAUGAUUAGAAAAAUUAGGACACACCGCCGACAAGCUAUAACAGGGGUGGAGCAACUGAAGUUCUGUUUCCGGUGUGUAUCUGCCUAUUUAGAGAUAUAUAACACAUACUCAAACUUCGCAACAUGAUUGUUUCAGAUAUAUAUCUGCCCAUUUAGAGACAUAUAACAUGUACUUAAACUACGCAACAUGAUUGUUUCUGGUUAAGAGAUAUAUAACAUUUACUCAAAUUUCGCUACAUAAAUUUGUCCGGUGUAUAUCUGCCCAGUUAGAGAUAUAUAUCAUAUUUUAUCAAACAACGCUACAUAACUGUUUCCGAAGUAUUUGUAUACAGAGAUGAAUUGCACAUACCAAACUACGCUACAUGACUGGCUUCGGUGUAAAUAAUUUAUGUAUAUAGAAAUACAAACACACGUCACACGACAGCUCCUAGUGUAAACCAUGUGUUGUUUUUUUUUAUAGAAAUGUAUGCAAAACCAAUACUUAAAGUACACUACAUGACUGUUUCUUCUGUAUAUUUGCUUAUAAAUAGAGAUAUAUUUCACAAACUCAAACUAUGCAACAAACAAAUUCUAAGAACGUGUGUAAUAGACAUAUAAUGUAAUGCAUGUGAAUUUAUUUUGAAUCGCAAAAAUAAAAAAUGACCCAACGGAAUGAAAAUAUAUAAUUGUAAACGGAACUACUUUACUAACAAUACCAUAUUAUAGUUUAGUGUUAAAAUAACUAUUUGAAGAAUCAUUGUUGAAAUACAUUGAUCUAAUUUUUGCAUGGCUAUUAUGGAUUUUAUUACAACGGAUAACUCACAUAACGUAAAACUUACAAAAUGGAUUACUCGCUGUAUAUAUUUUAGCUCGUGAUGUCUCAAGUUAAACAUCAUCAAGAUACUUUUUUUAAUUAUCUUAUUGUAAUUCAUUUUUAUUUUGUUUAUAUAUUGGUUGUAGUUUAUCAUCAAGUUAUAUUCCUUCUAACACUCGUAUUUUAGUUGUUAUAUUUCUAUUCAAUGUGAUUUGUUCAAAUACAUAAACAUUUUAAUAUACGUAGUUUUUUUUAUACAUUCUGUGUUAUAUAUAUGCAUGUUAUAAAAAAAAAUCUGUAUAUUUUGAAUUAUUCAUUUGUGUUUUGCAUGGUAUUGAUAAAACAAAAUAUCAAACAGGAAUAAGUUAACAUAUUUUAUUUUAUUUUACUCUUCACUGAACAUUUUUUAAAUAAAAUAAAGUUCUUAGAGAGAAAGAUUAAGAGCUGAAGCAAAUUCUCAUUCUUGCGUGCUCUCCUAACUUAGUUCAAUGUUUGUGGUUCUGUAUUGUGGAAGUUUAAAAGCGACUGCGUUCAUUGAAUGCCAUUCUUCCUUUCUUCUACCUAGUGUUUGCUGUGCUCAUUAUUAUGUAUUUUCAUAGCAUGGGUUCCAGUCAGUCAAUGUUCAUCUAAAUUAAAAAAAAACCUGACAGGCUCACGAACGGGCACGUAUGUUAUGCAUAAGCAAAACAUAUCGACGCCUAACUCACAGGAUAGAAUUUUCAAUGUGUUUACGAUUUUUUUUCAAGCUUUAUUUUUCCUUAAAAUAUGCAAAUGGUAAUCAAAUACCAAUCGAAAAUGCAUUUUGUAGUUGCCAGAAGAAGUAUGAAUGACCAAAAUUAGUUAAACACAUAUACACAUUCAUUGAUAUAAAAGAGGGCUCGGCUAUGGUAAGAACACAAGUAUAUAAAUUUGCAAAAAGACAAGCAA